UUUACAGCGAUGAUAAAGAUAUAGUACAAUUACUCUUAGGUUUUUAGAGAACUUGUGGUUGGUGAAAACAAGUACCGGGGCAAAUUGGAAUUGGGCUUUGGAGCUGGGAAAUUUAUUAAAGCGAUCUUACAAAGAAUGUAAGAUAAUUAGGGUGGCACCGCGGUUCAUUCGUCCCUGUU
Molecule: non-coding RNA, 179 nt
Filed under: Virgibacillus sp.
Lineage: Bacteria; Bacillati; Bacillota; Bacilli; Caryophanales; Bacillaceae
Description: T-box sequence
Rfam family: T-box leader
About the family: Uncharged tRNA acts as the effector for transcription antitermination of genes in the T-box leader family. T-boxes are found upstream of many aminoacyl-tRNA synthetase genes and some amino acid biosynthetic genes usually in Gram-positive bacteria.
Source: RNAcentral